Oncorhynchus tshawytscha (Chinook salmon) is the source of this 1419-nucleotide long non-coding RNA. The record is from Ensembl. Lineage: Eukaryota; Metazoa; Chordata; Actinopteri; Salmoniformes; Salmonidae.
UGGUGGCUGACUAAAUACUUUUUUGCCCCACUGUACAUUACGGGGAGCCAUUGACCAAGCUGCACUUUAUGACAAGUAGCCUAUACAGCAUAUCCUGUCUACAGGCUUCCGUAAUGUUUCUGUGUCUCUGUGUUCAUUGUGGCUUUUUUUUGUACUCUGUUCUACAGUAUGAAGUUAUAUGAUUACAGGAAAACAGGGGUUGUUCAUUUUCAUCCGUAGUUGACACUGAACGAGAACAAUCUACAGAAUCAUGUGCAAACUUCCCCUUUGGUGUUCUAUAGUAUUGCUGUUAUUCCCAGUCCCUGCAAAUGCCAGGGUGUGGAUGAACCAGUGGUCCUCAAAGAAUGCUUACAUAGUAGGGGAAACAGCUGCUCUUAAUUGCAACAUAACCUCAGAUCAUGAGGAAAUAAGAAAUUGCAAAAUGAGAUGGAUCAUUGAAGAUCAAGGUGAUGUCACAAGUUUGGAGUUGUAUAAGCAUCGUGUCAACAUGAAUUUGAGCAAAACAGCUACUACUAUGACAUUGAGAAACCUGACCUUGAGUGACACCAUUAUGCCAAUUUGCAUCGCAAAGUGCAUCAUUGACAGUGUCAACAGCAAGGUUUAUGGGGAGGGUGGCACACUUCACAUUUUUGAAGACAUCAACCAGAUGACCCUGGUCUCAAAGUUGACAACACUGGUCCCAAAGGAAAUCAAACAGGAACAUGCUCUCACUUGGCUGAACCAUGUUUUUCUCAGCAUAAACAUCCUGAUUUUCAUUGUGGCCACAAUUAUUUGUGUGUCAUACAUCAGAACCCAAAUGAAUAUGAAUUAAAAAGGGAUUGCAUUAGUUGUUAAAAUAUUGCCUGAAGCACCCUUCCAAGUUAUAGCCUAAAGCCUAUGCUCUAACACCUUUAGUAAACUGUAAACCGUGAUUUGAAAUGUUUUCGGAACAAUAGCUUUCUUCAUGCACUGCAUUUUUAUUGUGUUUUUAGGCCUGUUCAUAUUUUAUUACUCUAAUGUAUAGAAUGUAUGCCUACUGAUAUAGUUUUUACUGUCUUGUAUUAUUAUCUGAAAACAAACUAGGUAAAGGUGAAAGGUGACAAGCAUCUGGUAAAUGCAUUCCAGAUUAGAGUGCUUGAGGGUGCCAGGCUGCCCUGCAUCACUCACUCCUAUCAUCCACUACGCACACCUGCCUUUCCUUGUCAUGCUCUUCAGCUAUAUUGGACUCACUUAUCUGUUUAUUACCUUGCCUAUAUUUGUCAGUUUCCCUGCUGAUGCAUUGAUUGUUUUUUGUCUGUAUUAUUAGUUUACUGACGCUGUUCCUGUCUCAUGUCCGUUCUUUAUUAAAUGUUUGACUCCCCGUACCUGCUUCGUCUCUCCAGCGUCAUUCCAUGUGACACUAUGCACGAUAUGGAUACAUUCUCCCACACACCAGCCUGG